UUUAAGUUCAUGUUAACCUCAAAAAAAAAAAAAAAAAACUCUCUCUAGCUGGUUCCAUCAGUAGAAGCAUGCCCGUAGUUGAUGGCCAGUGUUUUGUGUAUGUGUUGGGUGAUUUUUUUCAGAAAUUUAAGCUGUGGUGUGGGGAUACUGGAUUCUUAUUGCAUUUUUGACAACGGUAUUUUAGUUUUUGUUGUAGUUGAAGUUUUUGGGUGAAGAUUAAGUUGGAUAAAUUCAUAUGGUUGCCAACGAAAUUCAUACGCUAUCUUAUUGUUUGCUGGGAAUUAUUUUCCUACUCUUUUACAUGCAAUUGAGGUAUAUUGUCGGUAUUGCUUGAAAGUGAUUUAGUUUGAGGUUUAAUGGACCUUGGAGCGUGGGCAAAACUUGAUUAGUGUUUUCUCAUACUAGUAUUGUAAGAAAGAGUACGUCAUGCCAAUUAUCAUGGUGAUUGGUAUGUCUAUUGGUGUAUCUCAGCUUCAGAUUGUUCAUGUUAUGUUGUGUAGGAGAUUAUGCUAGGAUCAACCUAAUUAUAGCUUUGAGAUUAGUGAAUUCCCCAUGUUUCAGGGAGAAUGGUAGGAGCUAUAACCUUAUUUAUGGCAAACCCGCUUUGCCAUUGGCACCUGCAUCUCUCAAAUUUCUUCCUUGUCCGCCCACAUGCGAUCCCCAAUCAGUUUCACCUUAUUAUAAAGUAGAUCUCUUAUCUUCUUCAUUAAAUAUUAAAAAAUUUUCUCACUAAAUUGUUGUUUGUCGGAAGUGAGAAGAAUUUAUAUGGUUUCUAAUAUUUAUUUUUUAUUUUGUUUAUGGCUAUUAUUUAUUUAAAGUUUUCCUUCAAAUUGAUCAUUAUUUGCUGUGAAUAACUUAAUUUUG
RNAcentral lists this unclassified non-coding RNA (864 nucleotides) under Hevea brasiliensis (rubber tree). Lineage: Eukaryota; Viridiplantae; Streptophyta; Magnoliopsida; Malpighiales; Euphorbiaceae. The record is from RNAcentral.